UACGUAGGGUGCGAGCGUUAAUCGGAGUUACUGGGCGUAAAGCGUGCGCAGGCGGUUCGUUAAGUUCGUUGUGAAAGCCCCGGGCUCAACCCGGGAACUGCGUCCGAUACUGGAAGGCUUGAAUUCGGGAGAGGGAUGCGGAAUUCCAGGUGUAGCGGUGAAAUGCGUAGAUAUCUGGAGGAACACCGGUGGCGAAGGCGGCAUCCUGGACCGGCAUUGACGCUGAGGCGCGAAAGCCAGGGGAGCAAACGGG
Molecule: ribosomal RNA, 253 nt
Filed under: uncultured bacterium
Lineage: Bacteria
Description: partial 16S ribosomal RNA
Rfam family: Bacterial small subunit ribosomal RNA
Source: RNAcentral